AUUGAACGCUGGCGGAAUGCUUUACACAUGCAAGUCGAACGGCAGCACGGGGCAACCUGGUGGCGAGUGGCGAACGGGUGAGUAAUACAUCGGAACGUGCCCAAUCGUGGGGGAUAACGUAGCGAAAGUUACGCUAAUACCGCAUACGAUCUACGGAUGAAAGCGGGGGAUCGCAAGACCUCGCGCGAAUGGAGCGGCCGAUGUCAGAUUAGGUAGUUGGUGGGGUAAAGGCUCACCAAGCCGACGAUCUGUAGCUGGUCUGAGAGGACGACCAGCCACACUGGGACUGAGACACGGCCCAGACUCCUACGGGAGGCAGCAGUGGGGAAUUUUGGACAAUGGGCGCAAGCCUGAUCCAGCCAUUCCGCGUGCAGGAUGAAGGCCUCGGGUUGUAAACGUGCUUUUGUACGGAACGAAACGGUUACGUCUCUAAUACAGGGGGCUAAUGACGGUACCGUAAGAAUAAGCACCGGCUAACUACGUAGCCAGC
This 490-nucleotide ribosomal RNA is filed under the name uncultured bacterium. RNAcentral describes it as "bacterial SSU rRNA". It matches the Rfam family "Bacterial small subunit ribosomal RNA", at positions 30 to 512 of the family's 1533-position model. The record is from RNAcentral.